RNAcentral lists this long non-coding RNA (5928 nucleotides) under Malus domestica (apple). Its description in RNAcentral is "long non-coding RNA (MDOM_LNC001402)". The record is from RNAcentral. Lineage: Eukaryota; Viridiplantae; Streptophyta; Magnoliopsida; Rosales; Rosaceae.
UUGAUCUAAACAAAACUUUAAUUAAGCAUUCAAGCUUUUAAACCUCUGCAAAACCCUUAAGGGCACGUUUGUUUGACAUGAUUAGCAAGGCUUGGACUGGACUAGACUAUAGUCCUGUGUUUGGUGUGCAACCGGAUUAGCUUUAAUGAGCUUAACCCGGACUCGCUUGGACUAAGGACCUCCUUAGGUGGUCUUCGCGAGCAACCCCAAAGCCCAGUGGAUUCGUAAGCCAGAGCAAACCGAGAGAGUUUCUGCCUUCCCUUCGUCCUGUUUUCCCUUCGUCCUCAUCUCUACGUUCCCUCUCAUCUUCGUUGCCGUGCUCUCUCAUCUUCGUCCUCCUUACCCUCAUCUGAGCGUCUUCCUGUCUCUGCAUCUGCUCGCCUCAUCUGAGUUGUACGGUAAACUUCGAUUCUUCUAUUAAUUGCAUGUAUUUGUGUUGCAGAUGGUAAUUUUACUGAGUUUUAUGUGAUUUGAUUGUUUUGGGUUUGAUAAUUUUUGAAUCAUAGAGAUCUGCACUUGAAUAAAUUAGGGUUUUGAUAUUUAGGUGAAAUUGAAAUUAGGAUUUGGGCUUUCAUAAGAUGAGAUGGAACUUGGGAAUUUAGGAUGUCAAUGUUGUAAAACUUGGAAGUCCUACCCACAUGUUGUUUUCGAUUUUUAAAAAUUGGGGUUUCAACAAUGGGAGUACUCUGUGCGUGUGUGUGUGUGUGUUUCUGUGUGUGUGUCUCUGUGUGUGUGUAUAAUUUAUGUGUAUGUCAGUACCAAAAAUCCUCGUCUCCAAGCAUACUCUCUCCAAGCACCUGUUUCACUGUAUGUUUCUAUCUGCCAAAUUAGGAUGAAUUGAUGAGUUCGUACAGAAGAGUUUCCUCUUCUCGAUUUUAUGUGUUUGUGUGUGUUUGUGUAUGUAAGUUCUCCGUGUGUGUGUGAGUGUGUACUAUGUGUGUGUAAGUGUACUCUGUGUGUGUGUGUUUGUGCACUCAUUAACGUGGGGGGGGUGUGUGUGUGUGCAGUGUGUGUGUGCAGUGUGUAUGCAGUAUGUAUGCAAUAUGUAUGCAGUAUGUAUGCAGUGUGUGUGCAGUGUGUAUGCAGUGUGUAUGCAGUAUGUAUGUAGUGUGUGUGCAGUGUGUGUGCAGUGUGUGUGUAUGCAGUGUAUGCAGUGUGUGUGUGUGUGUGUAUGCAGUGUGUGUGUGUGUGCAGUGUGUGUGUGUGUAUGCAGUGUGUGUGUGUGUAUGCAGUGUGUGUGUGUGUGUAUGCAGUGUGUGUAUGCAGUGUGUGUGUGUGUGCAGUGUGUAUGCAGUAUGUAUGCAGUGUGUGUGUGCAGUGUGUGUGUGUGUAUGUAUGCAAUAUGUGUGUGUGUAUGCAGUGUGUGUGCAGUGUGUGUGUGCAGUAUGUAUGCAGUGUGUGUAUGCAGUGUAUGUGUGCAGUGUGUAUGCAGUAUGUAUGCAGUGUGUGUGUGUGCAGUGUGUGUGUGCAGUGUGUGUGUGUGUGUGUGUAUGCAGUGUGCAGUGUGUGUAUGUAUGUGUGUGUAUGCAGUGUGUGUGUGUGUGUAUGUAUGUAUGCAGUGUGUGUGUGUGUGUGUAUGCAGUGCAUGCAGUGUGUGUAUGUAUGUAUGCAGUGUGUAUGCAGUGUGUGUGUGUAUGCAGUGUGUGUGUAUGUGUAUGUAUGUAUGCAGUGUGUGUGUGUGUGUAUGCAGUGUAUGCAGUGUGUGUAUGUAUGUAUGCAGUGUGUGUGUGUGUGUGUGUGUAUGUAUGCAGUGUGUGUGUGUGUACUUGGUUUAUAACCAUGAUAUUACAAUGUGAAUGUUUUGUAUUGUGUGGGGUUGAUGCUGAAUUGCAAUUUUUUGUGGUUGUUGGUUGCAAAGAAGAAGAGCAUAAACGGAAGGCUAAGGCUAAGGCUACUGCAUUACAGGUGUCCUUUAAUUUCCCUCUUCACAUGCAAUGCCUAGCAAUGAUAGCAAUCCUCAUACUAGUGUUCUUAGACACAUGUUUAUAGAUGUAUAAGAGUAGAACAUUUUUUUUCAACGCCACCUGUAUAUUUGUUGCCUCGGGUUAAUGAUAACUUUUUUUUUUUCAACGCCACCUGUAUAUUUGAUGCCUCGGAUUGUGACUUCGCUAGUUACUUUGAUCUAGUUCAUUUCGUAUCAUAAUCACUUCAUUUCCAUCACCCUUAAUAACAGUAAAUAUUACAUAUAUAAUGAUCUAGUUAAUUUGUUUUUUUGUUUUUGUUUUUGUUUGGAUAGAUAUGGAUCGAAGGAAGCUUUUAUUGAUCUUAUUGUUAGAGAUGUCUUAUUUGGAGACAAUUUGCAUUUGUACGAUUCUUGUGUUGAUGAUGCUACGUGGCAAACAGAGACAUGUUGAACGACCCACAUUGACUAACCGUUCACUUAUUAUACGAGAUAUUAGUUUGUGUUAUCUGAAUGGUAUAAUAGGGAAUACUGAUACUGAAUGUGUCAACGAAUUGAGAAUGGAUAGAAGGACUUUUGGCAUAUUAUGUGACUUACUUCGUCAAGAUGGGAGGGUAAAAACUGAUGGUUUGGUGUCUGUAGAGGAGCAUGUGUGUAUGACUUUACAAAUAUUAGCACAUCAUACUAAGAAUCGUAGUGUUGGCGGUAGAUUUUAUAGGUCGGGAGAAACUAUAAGUAGGUAUUUCAAUAGCGUAUUGCAAGGAAUUUUACGAUUACAAGGUAUCCUACUAAAAGUCCCUCAGCAUGUGCCUAUUGAUUCUACAGAUCCUAGGUGGCGAUGUUUUAAGGUAUGAUGAGAAUUUUUUUUUCAUUUUCCCUAAUCUUUAACUCUUCAUUCCCUUUGUAUAAAUUAACAAAAACUUUUUUUUUUUUUAAGAAUUGCUUGGGAGCAUUGGAUGGAACACACAUUGAUGUGCAUGUACCUGAAAUUGACAAACCAAGAUACCGAACAAGAAAGGGUCGAGUCGCAACUAAUGUGUUAGGUGUGUGUUCAGGAGAUAUGCAGUUCAUAUAUGUGUUUCCGGGUGGGAGGGUUCCGCAUCAGACUCUAGAGUGCUACAUGAUGCAAUUACUAGGCCUAAUGGUUUUAAGGUACCAGCGGGUAAGACUAUUACUUAGUCUCAACUUUGUAAGUUAGGUCUAGUUCUGUUUGUCAACUACAAAACACUAAUAAGGUCUGUUUUUUUUUCAUCAGGUUAUUAUUACCUUGUAGAUGGUGGUUAUACAAAUGGUGAAGGAUUCCUUGCACCCUAUAGAGGAAUACCUUAUCAUUUAUCUGAAUGGGAGAGACGAACACCUUCUAAUAAGGAAGAAUAUUUUAACAUGAAGCAUUCUAAGGCAAGGAAUGUAAUUGAACGCUGUUUUGGCUUGCUAAAAGGAAGGUGGUCGAUACUAAGGAGUCCAUCUUUCUAUCCGAUAAGGACACAAGGUCGAAUAAUUACCGCUUGUUGCCUACUACACAAUCUUAUUAGGCAAGAGAUGUAUGUAGAUUCAAUGGAGAAUUUGCCAAUAAUAGAAGAUGGACAAAAUACAGAAGAAGGUGAAUAUGUUGGUAGUGUUCAAACAUUUGACCAGUGGACUGCAAUGAGGAAUGACAUAGCUCAGGAAAUGUAUAAUGAGUGGAGAGCAAUUAGGAACCAGCAACCGAACUAGCUAUAUGUGUUAAUGAUAACAUUUUAUUUUAGUAUUCAUUUUUAUCAUGCAUUUGUUAGAUAUUAGCACAAUGAUUGGAUGGUAUGCAAAUUAAUUGGAUAUUAUGCAAGUUGAUUGGAUAUUAUGCAAAUUGAUUAUUUGUAUGGUAUUUUCCUUCAUUAAAAUAUUUUUUGUUUAGGUAUGGAUAACGAAAAUAUUUUGAAUGCUACUCAAGAGCCAAAAGGAAGAAGGCGUAAAUGGGAAGCAUUUGAGGAAGAAGUAUUACUAGGAGUUCUUGAGGAUUUUGUUGCUUGGAAGCAACGGUGUGACACCGGUGCUUUCAAACAAGGUACUUUGGUUGAAAUAGCAAAAGCUGUCAAUGUUUUAUGUCCUCAUUCAAAUAUUAAGGCAAAUCCACAUAUUGAGUCCAAGUUGAAGAAAUGGAAAAAAACAUAUAGUAUGGUCGUUGACAUGAUAAACACAAGUGGAUUUGCAUGGAAUGAUGUCAAAAAGUGCGUUGAAGUUGACAGUGAUGACGCAUGGCAAACUUAUGUGCAGGUUCAUAUCCUAUUUUAUUAUACAUUAGUUAUAUUCUUGCUGCUAUAUUUGUUACGCAUGCUAAAUUUUAGUUUUGCUAUGUUGAUAUAAUCUUAGAGAAAUAAAGAAGCCGAUGGACGGAGAAGCAAACAUUUUCCACUGUUUGAUAGAUUUGCAUAUAUAUUUGGAAAAGAUCGGGCUACGGGUAAUGUAGCCGAAACCCCUGCUCAAAUGGUGGAGGAACAAAGUCAUGAUCAUGUUGGUGAAAGUGAUAUUGGAGAUGAAAAUUUUGUUUCUUCAAUGAACCAACAAAGCCAACAAAGCACCCCAUCUGAAAAUAGCCAAAAAAAGAGGAAAAGAACUGUGGGAAGUUCAAGUGAUGGAACCGAGACAAUUAUCAGUGGACUGAAAGAUUUUUAUGUUGAAAGUGGGAAGAGGAUGCAAAUGGUAACUGAAGCUUUAGUUCAAGGUACUGCAGAUCAUACUGACAUAACUAAUGAACUUGAAGCAAUGGGUCUCUCUCCUAUGGAUCAAAUUGAUGCAUUGUCUCUUAUUUUGGAUAAACAAAAAAAUGUGGGAGUGUUCAGGGCAAUCAAACCGGAACUCAAGAAAGUGUUCGUCCAAAAGCUUUUAAGCGACAACGCAAGCGGAUGAGGAUUUUGGCUAAUGUUAACAUGGAUGUAUUUUAUUAAUGUUAACAUGGAUGUAUUUUUAUUAAUCAUCAUACAAUCUUAUGUUAUGGCUUAUAACUUAGCUUUGCACUAGUAUUUUGGCUUAUGUUAACUAGCCAUUUUGUAAAUAUAAUUAUUUUGGAAAGAUCUAUUUUGGCUAAUGUUAACUAAUGUUAACUAGGAUUUUCUAAAUUAUGGAGAUCUUCUUAUGUACUUGUAUUUGUUGAAGUUGCAUGUAUUGGGCACUAUUAAUUUUUCUUCUGUUGGGUGAUAGAGUUUUAAACCAAGCUACAUUUUGCAAAUUAAACCCAAUUCUAUUAGCAGGUAAUAGAAACAAAACAAUUGUCAAUUUUUUUUAAGAUUCAUAAUAUACAUGGCAAAAAUAUGCUCCAAUUAACCCAUAUCAUGAGAUUUGUAGCAUUACUCUAUUACACAAUGGCAAAAAUUUGUAGUCCUAGUCUAAGCAAACACAAAUCUGGUGAACAGUAUUGUUUUUCUUAUCCUGCUUCUUAGUCCGACAUUACACCAAAUGCUUCACUAAGUUAGUCCAGCUUAGUCCAGUCUAAGCCAGUCCAGCUUAGUCCCGGCAGCUAGUCCAGUCCGAGACAGUCCGGUGCAACAAACGCACCCUAAGUGAUGUUAAAUACUUUGCUUUUGAAAGCUUUUUGGUUUCUGGACAUUGAUUUAAACCAAUAACGAAAACAACUCUAAAAAAUAAUUGGAAAACAAAUUGAAUCUUUUUUUUUUAAGAACGAUUAGAAAGUACCACAACACUUACCAAUCAGAAGCAUGGCGAAAAAUGGUAUCAACUCAAUGCACAACGCAUUAACUCAAGACACAUCCAAAUUAUCAGGGUUUCUUUCAAACAAAUACAAUUUUGUAGCAAAAAAUUAUACACACGGUAAACCAAUUUGUUACAGCCAGCAUAAACACAACAGAGAACCAAAUUGCCACAGUUUUUUUCAGGGUUCCUUUCAAACAAAUACAAACUGAGAAUCGAAAAUUACACGUAGUUGUUGUAAAACAUACCCAAGCUCAAUAUAAUUUUCUUUGUCAAUAAUCUGAAGAGGCAGCAUGCGAUUAGUCACCAAUUUCACAAAAAAUUUGUCCCAACCUGCAGAUCCGCAG